GAACUGUGAUGAAAUUGGCUUUAGCGUUGGUUGGGUCCUUCGCAUUCUUCUGAUCUAUCAGAUGAAAUAUGGCCUCAUGUCUGAGCUC
Capsella rubella is the source of this 88-nucleotide small nucleolar RNA. It matches the Rfam family "small nucleolar RNA snoR114". The record is from Rfam. NCBI's taxonomy places the organism in Eukaryota, Viridiplantae, Streptophyta, Magnoliopsida, Brassicales, Brassicaceae.